GGCCCAGGGCCCACCACAACCCAUCCCUCAAAGUCUCCUUGGCGGAGGAGAAACAUUCCUCCUCCCUGCCCCCUGCGUCCCUCCGCAGCCCUGUCGCAGCCCCUAUCCUGUGUGAUGUGCGUGUCCCUGCGUUCUAGGUGGUUCUUUCAGCAACAGUUUGGGGGUUUUCAUGAGGAACAGGACCAGCUUUCAGGAUGCCUGGAGGUCUGCCCAGCUCUUCUCCCAUGGCUUCUCCUGGACGAGCCUACUUUUCUGAUAGUCCAAAGGCACAUAGUUGGUGUCUUGAAUUCUCAUUUACAAGAGAGGAGUGGUCACAGAAGACUUCACAGGAGAGGCCACAUGGUCCAGGGAGAGGACAUGCGUUUGGAGACCAGCCAGCCUAGGUUGCAACCCAUUUACUACUUGAGUGGCUUCAACUUGGGACAAGUUGUUCAAUUUUGAGUUGCUGUCUCAUGAUCAUAAGGAUAAUAAUAUUCACCUUCAAAAGUGGAUGUGAGGGCUAGAG
Suricata suricatta (meerkat) is the source of this 505-nucleotide long non-coding RNA. RefSeq lists it as uncharacterized. The transcript is spliced from 3 exons. The record is from RefSeq and is a predicted model, not a curated record. NCBI's taxonomy places the organism in Eukaryota, Metazoa, Chordata, Mammalia, Carnivora, Herpestidae.